GUAGUAUGAAGCUGCAGACUCGGAGACCUGCAUCUACAGUCCCCCUGCACCCAGAGUCCCGCAUUCUCAGACCCCUCGCUUUUCGAGACAGCGCCUCCUAUCAAAUUGUAUCGGAUAAACAUGUGAAGAACAUGUGAAGAACUUAAGCCAAAACGUGAGUAGGCUAUCUUCAAUUUUAUUUAGCGAAUCGUAGUAGCCUACUCGUUUGAUUUAUUUUUUAAUAAAACUAAUUUAGCUCAUCGAUACAACAUAUGAAUAGUCCAUUUAAUAUUUGUAAAGAUAGUUUGUAACAGGAUUUGAGCCGUUAAUGUAUGUUUUUCACCCUCUUCCCCCCGAAAAUAUUUUGAUAGCUAACGUUAGCCUUUAACCUUGGACUUUUUGUAGAUAUGUCAUAAAUGCUGCAGUUAUUUUCACUGCCCAUUUUGUGCCCCCUCAUAUUUCAAACCCACAAAGUUGUCCAAAUUUCAAAAACAUCUCAAGGGACACUUCAACAGAGCAGUGCAACAUGAAGGUAACAUUUGCAAACAUAUUUUUUUUUUUUUUUUUUUUUUUUUUGAAACAUCAUAAGACAUGUGCUAUCGGGCCUAUACUGUUGUAGGCUAUUCCAGGGUACACCAUACAUCGAUGGAGUCGCCCCUGCCGAACCCAGCAACAUAUCAUUUUAUGAUUAUGCAAAGCGACUUAUAAAUUAGUUUUUUUUAAUGCAAUUGAAGACGAAAAGUAAAAUGAUGUUUAGGUGAUCAUUAAAUAAAGUACAGAAUUGUU
Molecule: long non-coding RNA, 765 nt
Organism: Rhinichthys klamathensis goyatoka
Lineage: Eukaryota; Metazoa; Chordata; Actinopteri; Cypriniformes; Leuciscidae
Exons: 2
Source: RefSeq, a predicted model, not a curated record